GACGAACGCUGGCGGCGUGCUUAACACAUGCAAGUCGAACGGUGAAGCGCCUUCCUUUUUGGUGGGUGUGGAUGAGUGGCGAACGGGUGAGUAACACGUGAGUAACCUGCCCCCUUCUUCUGGAUAACCGCAUGAAAGUGUGGCUAAUACGGGAUAUUCUGGGUCUGUCGCAUGAUGGGUCUGGGAAAGAGAUUGUUUCGGUGGGGGAUGGGCUCGCGGCCUAUCAGCUUGUUGGUGGGGUGAUGGCCUACCAAGGCGGUGACGGGUAGCCGGCCUGAGAGGGUGGACGGUCACACUGGGACUGAGGCACGGCCCAGACUCCUACGGGAGGCAGCAGUGGGGAAUAUUGCACAGUGGGCGCAAGCGUGAUGCAGCGACGCCGCGGGAGGGAUGGAGGCCUUCGGGUUGUGAACCUCUUUCGCCAGUGAAGCAGGCCUGCCUCGUUUGUGGGUGGGUUGACGGUAGCUGGAUAAGAAGCGCCGGCUAACUACGUG
Molecule: ribosomal RNA, 494 nt
Filed under: uncultured bacterium
Lineage: Bacteria
Description: partial 16S ribosomal RNA
Rfam family: Bacterial small subunit ribosomal RNA
Source: RNAcentral